UUUGCGGCUCUAAACUGCCGGAUGCGCAAGCGGCCAAUGAAGCGGCCAACACCUUGCUACCCACGGCACUUGCCGGGGUAAACUUCGCACUACACACCG
Molecule: regulatory RNA element, 99 nt
Rfam family: Pyrrolysine insertion sequence mttB
Source: Rfam